RNAcentral lists this ribosomal RNA (510 nucleotides) under uncultured bacterium. RNAcentral describes it as "bacterial SSU rRNA". It matches the Rfam family "Bacterial small subunit ribosomal RNA", at positions 28 to 526 of the family's 1533-position model. The record is from RNAcentral.
GAUGAACGCUGGCGGCGUGCUUAACACAUGCAAGUCGAACGAAGCAUUACUUUUGAAAGAACUUAGCUUGCUAAGAGCGGACAUGUGUAAUGACUGAGUGGCGGACGGGUGAGUAACGCGUGAGUAACCUGCCUUAUACAGGGGGAUAACAGUUGGAAACGACUGCUAAUACCGCAUAAGCACACAGUACCGCAUGGUACGGUGUGAAAAACUCCGGUGGUAUAAGAUGGACUCGCGUCUGAUUAGCUAGUUGGUGAGGUAAAGGCCCACCAAGGCAACGAUCAGGAGCCGGCCUGAGAGGGUGACCGGCCACAUUGGGACUGAGACACGGCCCAAACUCCUACGGGAGGCAGCAGUGGGGAAUAUUGCACAAUGGGGGAAACCCUGAUGCAGCGACGCCGCGUGAAGGAAGAAGUAUUUCGGUAUGUAAACUUCUAUCAGCAGGGAAGAAAAUGACGGUACCUGACUAAGAAGCCCCGGCUAAUUACGUGCCAGCAGCCGCAGUAACAC